CUCUAUAUGCAGUUGAUUCGAAAGAAUCCUCUGUUUGCAACAAAAUGAAAGUGCUUUAUUAAAAAAGGACCGAAACACUAAUACAAAAAUGCGAGUUAAAGCAUUUUGUCUGAUAACGAUGCGUUUGUCCUCCGUCUGGUGUGACUUGUCUCUUUGUCGAUGUUUACUUCAUUGGACUUGAAGUAACAAAGGUACCUGCAUAUUAGAAUCCCAAACCAGAAUUGAAUGCAGUUAACAAUGAAGGUGGCUGCAUUUCAUUUGCAGCUUUGUGAAUAAAAUUACAGCAUUUUUUAAUAUUGAGCACACUUUUCAUGUAGCUUUGCAAAGUUCGAACGAAAUUUCGGUUUGGUUUGCAGCAUAAAAUGGAUUUUUUCAAGUCAAACAUUGGCAAAGUUGCAACACAGGUCGACGCUGUUCUGCCUGAUGAAAAGCGCAAGGAGUUGAUAAAAGAAAAGUUAGGCCCGCUAGUCAUGAAAAUAAACCCUACCCUUGGCGAAAAAAUUACUGAAGAAUUGAUGAAGCAGGACCUAAGUAAGCUAGUGCCGUUGGCAGACGAUCCGAAGAAACUCGAAGCCACUGUGGAGGAGGAAGCUAAGAAGAUUGAAGAAAAGGAAAAGAAGGAGACUAUCGAUCUGGACUGAAUUCUAUUUCAUUAUCAUCUCAUUUCGGACAUUUAGAUAGAUGCUUAAUCAACGGCUAAUACCUUCAUACUUGAAAGAAUCAUUUUAAAGUUUA
Molecule: long non-coding RNA, 735 nt
Organism: Rhopilema esculentum
Lineage: Eukaryota; Metazoa; Cnidaria; Scyphozoa; Rhizostomeae; Rhizostomatidae
Source: RefSeq, a predicted model, not a curated record